RNAcentral lists this transfer-messenger RNA (413 nucleotides) under Candidatus Margulisiibacteriota bacterium. It matches the Rfam family "transfer-messenger RNA". From Rfam's summary of the family: Bacterial tmRNA, also known as 10Sa RNA or SsrA, is named for its dual tRNA and mRNA-like properties. Lineage: Bacteria; Bacillati; Candidatus Margulisiibacteriota. The record is from RNAcentral.
GGGGCUGUAAGGGUUUUGACGGGGAGUGUGGAUGCGCGAGUUGCGAGCCGAGGGUGCGACAAGCCUCGUUAAACACGGUCGCCAACGUCCUAAAUGCAGACGUAAAAGAAGCACUUGCUGGCGUUCAGUGGGCCUGGACUAAUACUUCAGUGUUCGCGGGCGCCGCAGUCGCAGCUUAACCUAGUUAAGUUGCCCGUCUCCCAGGUUCUCCGGUAAGCUUGGGUAAGACGAUAUAUUCCGGAUCGCUCUCCGGUCUCUCCGGCCGGCCGGGGGGCUAAAAAAUAGAACGGAUAGCUUAGGGAACUCCUCGUUUCGGGUCAAACCUUAAGCGAACCAAAUAAUUGAAACUACGCUCGUAGUGGCUCUCGUUUCCAUCUUUUCGGACAGGGGUUCGACUCCCCUCAGCUCCAUAU